RNAcentral lists this ribosomal RNA (494 nucleotides) under uncultured bacterium. RNAcentral's name for it is "partial 16S ribosomal RNA". It matches the Rfam family "Bacterial small subunit ribosomal RNA", at positions 28 to 507 of the family's 1533-position model. The record is from RNAcentral.
GACGAACGCUGGCGGCGUGCUUAACACAUGCAAGUCGAACGGAAAGGCCUGUCCUUCCUUGUGUUGGACGGGUACUCGAGUGGCGAACGGGUGAGUAACACGUGAGUGAUCUGCCCCCAACUUGGGUAUAAGCCUGGGAAACUGGGUCUAAUUCCCGAUAGGACUGCAGGGUGGUGCCUGUGGUGGAAAACGUUUUUCUAGUGGUUGGUGAUGAGCUCGCGGCCUAUCAGCUUGUUGGUGGGGUAAUGGCCUACCAAGGCGGCGACGGGUAGCCGGCCUGAGAGGGUGGACGGCCACAUUGGGACUGGGAUACGGCCCAGACUCCUACGGGAGGCAGGAGUGGGGAAUAUUGCACAAUGGGCGGAAGCCUGAUGCAGCGACGCCGCGUGGGGGAUGACGGCCUUCGGGUUGUAAGCUCCUUUCGACCGCGAGGAAGCCGCCUGGUUGGAAGGGUGGUGACGGUAGUGGUAGAAGAAGCACCGGCUAACUACGUG